This 460-nucleotide ribosomal RNA is filed under the name uncultured bacterium. RNAcentral describes it as "partial 16S ribosomal RNA". It matches the Rfam family "Bacterial small subunit ribosomal RNA", at positions 338 to 795 of the family's 1533-position model. The record is from RNAcentral.
CCUACGGGAGGCAGCAGUGAGGAAUAUUGGUCAAUGGGCGAGAGCCUGAACCAGCCACGUCGCGUGAAGGAUGACGGCCCUACGGGUUGUAACCUUCUUUUGCCAGGGAGCAAUUGAGUCCACGUGUGGGCUUAGCGAGAGUACCUGAAGAAAAAGCAUCGGCUAACUUCGUGCCAGCAGCCGCGGUAAUUCGGGGGAUGCGGGCGUUAUCCGGAUUUCUUGGGGUAAAGGGGUUCGUAGGGGGAAUAUAAAGUCAGCGGGAAACAUUCGGGGCUCAACCCGGUCGUGCCGUUGAAACUGAUGUUCUUGAGUGGGCGAGAGGUAUGCGGAAUGCGUGGGGUAGCGGUGAAAUGCAUAGAUAUCACGCAGAACACCGAUUGCGAAGGCAGCAUACCGGCGCCCAACUGACGCUGAAGCACGAAAGCGUGGGUAGCGAACAGGAUUAGAUACCCCUGUAGUC